Molecule: ribosomal RNA, 541 nt
Filed under: Malassezia japonica
Lineage: Eukaryota; Fungi; Basidiomycota; Malasseziomycetes; Malasseziales; Malasseziaceae
Description: LSU rRNA
Rfam family: Eukaryotic large subunit ribosomal RNA
Source: RNAcentral
AGCUGGUACCUUUGGUGCCCGCGUUGUAAUCUCGAGACGCGUUUUCCGCGCGGCGCUAUGGACAAGUUCCUUGGAACAGGACAUCGUAGAGGGUGAAAAUCCCGUACUUGCCAUGGAUGCACCGUGCUUUGUGAUACGUGCUCAAAGAGUCGAGUUGUUUGGGAUUGCAGCUCAAAAUGGGUGGUAGACUCCAUCUAAAGCUAAAUAUCGGGGAGAGACCGAUAGCGAACAAGUACCGUGAGGGAAAGAUGAAAAGCACUUUGGAAAGAGAGUUAAAAGUACGUGAAAUUGUCGAAAGGGAAGCGCUUGAAGUCAGCCAUGCCGCUCAGGACUCAGCCUGGCUUUUGCUUGGUGUACUUCCUGGGUAGCAAGUCAGCAUUGGUUUGGACCGUCGGAGAAGCAUGGCAGGAAUGUGACGCCCUCGGGCGUGUUAUAGCCUGCCAUUGGAUACGCCGGUCUAGACCAAGGAACGCAGUGCGCCUUACGGCGGGUCUUCGGACACCUUCGCACUUAGGAUGCUGGCGUAAUGGCUUUAAGCGGC